This is a non-coding RNA of Cinara cedri, 319 nucleotides long. NCBI's taxonomy places the organism in Eukaryota, Metazoa, Arthropoda, Insecta, Hemiptera, Aphididae. The record is from the annotation of a GenBank genome assembly.
AGCAUUCGUUCGCCAUUUCAGUGCAACAACUGCUUACUUCUUGGGCAUAGAGUUAAAGUGCUAGGGUUGCCACCUGGUAAAUAUUUCUCUCCUUCCUGUUCCUUAGCAGUGUAAAAUCAUAAAACACCGUUCAAAACUUUUAAACGCUUUGAUUCUAUUUCUGAUUUUCAUAAUUAUCAAAACACUAGUGCUGAUAUCACACGAUUACUUAAAUACUCCAAAAGGAACGCAUGGAAAUACAUAAUGGUGUUCGAAUCUAAACCAUUGCCGUUUUUUUCGCCCAUCACGUUAAGUGUGCUUAAUUCCGUCAUUGAGUUAA